GAUGAACGCUGGCGGCGUGCCUAAUACAUGCAAGUCGAGCGAACGGACGAGAAGCUUGCUUCUCUGAUGUUAGCGGCGGACGGGUGAGUAACACGUGGAUAACCUACCUAUAAGACUGGGAUAACUUCGGGAAACCGGAGCUAAUACCGGAUAAUAUUUUGAACCGCAUGGUUCAAAAGUGAAAGACGGUCUUGCUGUCACUUAUAGAUGGAUCCGCGCUGCAUUAGCUAGUUGGUAAGGUAACGGCUUACCAAGGCAACGAUGCAUAGCCGACCUGAGAGGGUGAUCGGCCACACUGGAACUGAGACACGGUCCAGACUCCUACGGGAGGCAGCAGUAGGGGAUCUUCCGCAAUGGGCGAAAGCCUGACGGAGCAACGCCGCGUGAGUGAUGAAGGUCUUCGGAUCGUAAAACUCUGUUAUUAGGGAAGAACAUAUGUGUAAGUAACUGUGCACAUCUUGACGGUACCUAAUCAGAAAGCCACGGCUAACUACGUGCCAGCAGCCGCGGUAAUACGUAGGUGGCAAGCGUUAUCCGGAAUUAUUGGGCGUAAAGCGCGCGUAGGCGGUUUUUUAAGUCUGAUGUGAAAGCCCACGGCUCAACCGUGGAGGGUCAUUGGAAACUGGAAAACUUGAGUGCAGAAGAGGAAAGUGGAAUUCCAUGUGUAGCGGUGAAAUGCGCAGAGAUAUGGAGGAACACCAGUGGCGAAGGCGACUUUCUGGUCUGUAACUGACGCUGAUGUGCGAAAGCGUGGGGAUCAAACAGGAUUAGAUACCCUGGUAGUCCACGCCGUAAACGAUGAGUGCUAAGUGUUAGGGGGUUUCCGCCCCUUAGUGCUGCAGCUAACGCAUUAAGCACUCCGCCUGGGGAGUACGACCGCAAGGUUGAAACUCAAAGGAAUUGACGGGGACCCGCACAAGCGGUGGAGCAUGUGGUUUAAUUCGAAGCAACGCGAAGAACCUUACCAAAUCUUGACAUCCUUUGACAACUCUAGAGAUAGAGCCUUCCCCUUCGGGGGACAAAGUGACAGGUGGUGCAUGGUUGUCGUCAGCUCGUGUCGUGAGAUGUUGGGUUAAGUCCCGCAACGAGCGCAACCCUUAAGCUUAGUUGCCAUCAUUAAGUUGGGCACUCUAAGUUGACUGCCGGUGACGAACCGGAGGAAGGUGGGGAUGACGUCAAAUCAUCAUGCCCCUUAUGAUUUGGGCUACACACGUGCUACAAUGGACAAUACAAAGGGCAGCGAAACCGCGAGGUCAAGCAAAUCCCAUAAAGUUGUUCUCAGUUCGGAUUGUAGUCUGCAACUCGACUACAUGAAGCUGGAAUCGCUAGUAAUCGUAGAUCAGCAUGCUACGGUGAAUACGUUCCCGGGUCU
RNAcentral lists this ribosomal RNA (1372 nucleotides) under uncultured bacterium. Its description in RNAcentral is "bacterial SSU rRNA". It matches the Rfam family "Bacterial small subunit ribosomal RNA", at positions 28 to 1381 of the family's 1533-position model. The record is from RNAcentral.